GAUGAACGCUAGCGAUAGGCUUAACACAUGCAAGUCGAGGGGCAGCAUGGUCUUAGCUUGCUAAGGCUGAUGGCGACCGGCGCACGGGUGCGUAACGCGUAUGCAACUUGCCUCACAGAGGGGGAUAACCCGUCGAAAGACGGACUAAUACCGCGUACACUCUAUGUUGGGCAUCCAAUGUAGAGGAAAUGAAAUUCGCUGUGAGAUAGGCAUGCGUCCCAUUAGCUAGUUGGUGAGGUAACGGCUCACCAAGGCGACGAUGGGUAGGGGAACUGAGAGGUUGAACCCCCACACUGGUACUGAGACACGGACCAGACUACUACGGGAGGCAGCAGUGAGGAAUAUUGGUCAAUGGGCGAGAGCCUGAACCAGCCAAGUCGCGUGAAGGAUGACUGUCUUAUGGAUUGUAAACUUCUUUUAGACGGGAAUAACAAGAGUCACGUGUGGCUCCCUGCAUGUACCGUAUGAAUAAGCAUCGGCUAACUCCGUG
Molecule: ribosomal RNA, 490 nt
Filed under: uncultured bacterium
Lineage: Bacteria
Description: partial 16S ribosomal RNA
Rfam family: Bacterial small subunit ribosomal RNA
Source: RNAcentral